This 278-nucleotide ribosomal RNA is filed under the name uncultured prokaryote. RNAcentral describes it as "partial 16S ribosomal RNA". It matches the Rfam family "Bacterial small subunit ribosomal RNA", at positions 524 to 801 of the family's 1533-position model. The record is from RNAcentral.
UACGGAGGAUGCGAGCGUUAUCCGGAUUUAUUGGGUUUAAAGGGUGCGUAGGCGGCUUUUUAAGUCAGCGGUGAAAUUUUGCAGCUUAACUGUAACAGUGCCGUUGAUACUGGGGAGCUAGGAUUUGGUUGCUGUGGGUGGAAUGUGUGGUGUAGCGGUGGAAUGCGUAAAUAUCAGGAGCAACACCCGUGGCGAAGGCUGCUACCUGGAACGUUACUGACGCUGAGGCGCGAAAGCUAGGGGAGCGAACGGGAUUAGAUACCCGGGUAGUCCCUGAG